UAGCUGUCUUAUGUCCCUGCUUUGACUGAAUAAGUGCCUCUGCUACAGUUUGUGUGUCUUUCAACUGCUCAUCAUCUAUAGCUGUUCCUGCAAGAACAACAGCAGAGUGGCGAUUAAGGUCCUGUAACAAAGUCCUCAUGUAUGGCUCAUUCUGUGAAUCUGUUAUCUCCUUGCUACCAUCACGAACAAUUCCAUGAUCUGGAAGAUGUGUAUAAUCAUCCCCCUGGUCAGCUUCCAUGUCUAGAGUUGGAUCAACACAUCUAAUCUUCCGCCGAGUUUCACUGGCCAAAAUAUCAUCAGGUUUCAGAAAAAGAGCUAGUUCCUCAUCUUCAGCAGCCUCCGCGGCUGCAGCAUGAGCAUUUUUUGAAUGAUGGAGGUAUUCAGCUCUACAAUAUUUGGUCCAGAAGUCCUUGUCUGUCAUCUUGUUAGGAACUACAUUCAAGUAUGCCUGGUGAACAGCUGG
This 463-nucleotide unclassified non-coding RNA is filed under the name Hevea brasiliensis (rubber tree). The record is from RNAcentral. Lineage: Eukaryota; Viridiplantae; Streptophyta; Magnoliopsida; Malpighiales; Euphorbiaceae.